Lycium barbarum (goji berry) is the source of this 294-nucleotide long non-coding RNA. RefSeq lists it as uncharacterized. The transcript has 3 exons. The record is from RefSeq and is a predicted model, not a curated record. Lineage: Eukaryota; Viridiplantae; Streptophyta; Magnoliopsida; Solanales; Solanaceae.
AUGGGUGGUUGAGAAUCAAGUGGGAGGAAAGAGCUUAGUUAUUGAUGAUUGUGAUACAAAGCAAUCAGUAUUCAGUAUAUGUCUACGGGUGCAAAGGUUCAGUUCUGCAGAUCAAAGGAAAAGUCAACAACAUCACAAUUGACAAAUGCACUAAGAUGGGAGUUGUAUUCGCGGGUGUUGUCGCAGCUUGUGAGGUUGUCAAUUGCAAUGGUGUAGAGGUGCAAUGUUAGGUAUCAAAAUUUAUGGUUCAGAGGUUAAAACACAAUGGUCUACAAAAGUGAAGUUUAAUAAAAU